This 113-nucleotide ribosomal RNA is filed under the name Acanthosepion pharaonis. Lineage: Eukaryota; Metazoa; Mollusca; Cephalopoda; Sepiida; Sepiidae. The record is from RNAcentral.
UACGGCCGCAUCACGUUGAAACACCGGUUCUCGUACGAUCACGGAAGUUAAGCAACGUCGAACCUGGUCAGUACCAAAAUGGGUGACCACGUGGGAAUACCACGUGCUGUAAU